Molecule: long non-coding RNA, 252 nt
Filed under: Ananas comosus (pineapple)
Lineage: Eukaryota; Viridiplantae; Streptophyta; Magnoliopsida; Poales; Bromeliaceae
Description: long non-coding RNA (ACOM_LNC043813)
Source: RNAcentral
UGAUGAUAAAUGAUGUAAAAAAAAGAAUGUAAUGUGUAUUUUGAGGUAAAUGUGAUGUAUGAAAUGAAAUGUAAGGAAUUUGAAAAUGAACAAGAUGAAUGCAAUGUAUAUGAUCAAAAAUGAAUUAUAGUACUUAUAAAUGUUUAGUUUUCCUUUCUUUCACUAAUGGCUAUUGCUUACCCUCGUGUAAGCCGUUUGUGUAUGUUUCCGCUAGUGCAUUUCUUGUUUGAAUUUGUACACGUGAUGAGCCUU